Molecule: ribosomal RNA, 501 nt
Filed under: uncultured bacterium
Lineage: Bacteria
Description: partial 16S ribosomal RNA
Rfam family: Bacterial small subunit ribosomal RNA
Source: RNAcentral
AUUGAACGCUGGCGGCAGGCUUAACACAUGCAAGUCGAGCGGAGCGAGGGUGCUUGCACCUUAGCUUAGCGGCGGACGGGUGAGUAAUGCUUAGGAAUCUGCCUAUUAGUGGGGGACAACAUUCCGAAAGGAAUGCUAAUACCGCAUACGCCCUACGGGGGAAAGCAGGGGAUCUUCGGACCUUGCGCUAAUAGAUGAGCCUAAGUCGGAUUAGCUAGUUGGUGGGGUAAAGGCCUAGCAAGGCGACGAUCUGUAGCGGGUCUGAGAGGAUGAUCGGCCACACGGGGACUGAGACACGGCCCAGACUCCUACGGGAGGCAGCAGUGGGGAAUAUUGGACAAUGGGCGGAAGCCUGAUCCAGCCAUGCCGCGUGUGUGAAGAAGGCCUUUUGGUUGUAAAGCACUUUAAGCGAGGAGGAGGCUACUUAGAUUAAUACUCUGGGAUAGUGGACGUUACUCGCAGAAUAAGCACCGGCUAACUCUGUGCCAGCCGCCGCCGUAA